AGCAAACAAUAAGUAUGGUGUCACUUGCACAGGCACAAACACUCACACACAGCGAGUACUGUACAUAUGAUCGCAAUGCAUGAGCCACAAUAUUGAGUACACCUUGCCCAAUCUGCAGUUGUGCGGACACUUGGAAACCGGGUCGUGAGCAAGGUUUAAUAAUCCGACCACCAGCUGUCGGCGUGGCAGAGCUUUUAAAGCAGCUGGUAACAAGGUGGGGUUUCAUGAGGUAAAGCCCUCCUAUGCUUGUCUUAGUUUUUCACUUAUAUGAAAGCUAAUCAUGUAAAAAUGCUACUUAAAAUAUUGCCUAAACAUUUCAUAAAGUGCUGGUGAGAGUUUGGGCCCCGGAAUUGAUUCUCUUCGAGAAUUUCCCUCCAGGCACCACACAUAAGUGGUACUGUAAAUUAAAUGAAAAUGUUUUGGUAACCUCAAUUCACUAAAUGAAAGAAGCAAAGCUUUCUUAAAACAACUGUACCACACCGCGAAUAAACAAUUGGUUAAAUUAAUGUCUGUAUCAAUCUAAAUGGGCCCUUAUUAUCUUGCGAGGGAAGAAUGUAUGUUACAGUGUAACUCUGGCAUAGCACCACAUUCGAUUGUGCUGCUUUUCUGUCAUGUUAAACAGUCAU
Long non-coding RNA from Hippocampus comes (tiger tail seahorse), 626 nucleotides. RefSeq lists it as uncharacterized. The record is from RefSeq and is a predicted model, not a curated record. The transcript is spliced from 2 exons. Lineage: Eukaryota; Metazoa; Chordata; Actinopteri; Syngnathiformes; Syngnathidae.